UGGGGAAUAUUGGACAAUGGGGGGAACCCUGAUCCAGCCAUGCCGCGUGUGUGAAGAAGGCCUUAUGGUUGUAAAGCACUUUAAGCGAGGAGGAGGGUACUGGUAUUAAUACUACCAGGUACUGGACGUUACUCGCAGAAUAAGCACCGGCUAACUCUGUGCCAGCAGCCGCGGUAAUACAGAGGGUGCGAGCGUUAAUCGGAUUUACUGGGCGUAAAGCGUGCGUAGGUGGUUCGUUAAGUUGAAUGUGAAAGCCCCGGGCUCAACCUGGGAACUGGAUCCAAAACUGGCGAGCUAGAGUAGGGCAGAGGGUGGAGGAAUUUCCUGUGUAGCGGUGAAAUGCGUAGAUAUAGGAAGGAACACCAGUGGCGAAGGCGACCACCUGGGCUCAUACUGACACUGAGGUGCGAAAGCGUGGGGAGCAAACAGG
RNAcentral lists this ribosomal RNA (430 nucleotides) under Pseudomonadota bacterium. RNAcentral describes it as "Proteobacteria bacterium partial 16S ribosomal RNA". It matches the Rfam family "Bacterial small subunit ribosomal RNA", at positions 355 to 776 of the family's 1533-position model. Lineage: Bacteria; Pseudomonadati; Pseudomonadota. The record is from RNAcentral.